CAGCUCCGGGACUCAACAUGCGCUGCUCGCCGGGAGGCGUCUGGCUGGCGCUGGCCGCGUCGCUCCUGCACGGUCCCUGCAAGGCGAGUUCCAGAGGAAGCUUUACAAGGAGCUGGUCAAGAACUACAAUCCCUUGGAGAGGCCCGUGGCCAAUGACUCGCAACCACUCACCGUCUACUUCUCCCUGAGCCUCCUGCAGAUCAUGGACGUGAUGAGAAGAACCAAGUUUUAACCACCAACAUUUGGCUGCAAAUGCUUGGACAGAUCACUAUUUACAGUGGAAUGUGUCAGAAUAUCCAGGGGUGAAGACUGUUCGUUUCCCAGAUGGCCAGAUUUGGAAACCAGACAUUCUUCUCUAUAACAGAGUUAUGACCAACAGCAGGAAGUG
Molecule: long non-coding RNA, 388 nt
Filed under: Homo sapiens (human)
Lineage: Eukaryota; Metazoa; Chordata; Mammalia; Primates; Hominidae
Description: long non-coding RNA NONHSAT041476.2
Source: RNAcentral